GCACCUUUAUUAGACAUUGGUGUCCCUUGAAGUCUUAUUUUGGUUCUUUAAUUUGGUGUUUAAGACAUAUGUUAUGUAAAACUUGUAAAGAAAAGAAUUGGAGAGGGAUUUUGGUAGCAAAAAGAGAGUUUAAGGCAUCCAUAUAGAUGAAUGGAGAUGGAUGAUGAAAACCUCCAUUUCUAUUGGUCAAAAAUCAUGACCAAUGGACUUUGAGGAGGCUGCCCGAGGCCAUAUUAGAGAUUAGGGUUAGUUUUUUGGAGAAAUUUGAGCUUUGGAGGCUAGGAUCAGCAAUUUUAGGUUUUUGGCUAUGGUUUUGGUGCACAUUUUGAGUCAUUUGGAGUUUAUAUGAAAGAGAUAUGGAUGCUCAAAGUUAGGGUGUUGAUUUUGUACUUACUAUCAAUAUUUUGGAUAUAACACAUGUGUACAGAAAGCAACAGAGGAUCGGCGACUAGGAUUGAAAAGAGCACUCUCUCGGCUAUACUUUUGGCAUACUUUUUGAUGGAUUUUAAGUUUUAAUGAAGGAGAUAUUGGAGGUUGAAGUCAGUGCUUACAAAUCUAAGGGUUGUAAGUGACCUGAAUUGCUAGUAGUUGUGUUUUGAACUAUAUCUUAUG
RNAcentral lists this long non-coding RNA (612 nucleotides) under Physcomitrium patens. RNAcentral's name for it is "long non-coding RNA (PPAT_LNC005007)". The record is from RNAcentral. Lineage: Eukaryota; Viridiplantae; Streptophyta; Bryopsida; Funariales; Funariaceae.